GAUGAACGCUGGCGGCGUGCUUAACACAUGCAAGUCGAACGGUUCCUCCGGAGCUUGCUCUUGUGGAUCAGUGGCGAACGGGUGAGUAACACGUGAGCAACCUGCCCCUGACUCUGGGCUACGCGCUGGAAACGGCGUCUAAUACUGGAUAUGUGAUGUGACCGCAUGGUCUGCAUCUGUGAAGAAUUUCGGUUGGGGAUGGGCUCGCGGGCUAUCAGCUUGUUGGUGAGGUAAUGGCUCACCAAGGCGUCGACGGGUAGCCGGCCUGAGAGGGUGACCGGCCACACUGGGACUGGAACACGGCCCAGACUCCUGCGGGAUGAAGAACUGGGGAAUAUUGCACAAUGGGCGGAAGCCUGAUGCAACACAGCCGCGUCAGGAAUGACGGCCUUCGGGUUGUAAACCUCUUACAGCAGGGCAGAAGCGAAAGUGACGGUACCUGCAGAAAAAGCACCGGCUAACUAAGAGCCAGCCGCCGCUGUAA
This 484-nucleotide ribosomal RNA is filed under the name uncultured bacterium. Its description in RNAcentral is "partial 16S ribosomal RNA". It matches the Rfam family "Bacterial small subunit ribosomal RNA", at positions 28 to 523 of the family's 1533-position model. The record is from RNAcentral.